This 493-nucleotide ribosomal RNA is filed under the name Pichia kudriavzevii. RNAcentral's name for it is "eukaryotic LSU rRNA". It matches the Rfam family "Eukaryotic large subunit ribosomal RNA", at positions 98 to 602 of the family's 3401-position model. The record is from RNAcentral. Lineage: Eukaryota; Fungi; Ascomycota; Pichiomycetes; Pichiales; Pichiaceae.
GCGGCAAGAGCUCAGAUUUGAAAUCGUGCUUUGCGGCACGAGUUGUAGAUUGCAGGUUGGAGUCUGUGUGGAAGGCGGUGUCCAAGUCCCUUGGAACAGGGCGCCCAGGAGGGUGAGAGCCCCGUGGGAUGCCGGCGGAAGCAGUGAGGCCCUUCUGACGAGUCGAGUUGUUUGGGAAUGCAGCUCCAAGCGGGUGGUAAAUUCCAUCUAAGGCUAAAUACUGGCGAGAGACCGAUAGCGAACAAGUACUGUGAAGGAAAGAUGAAAAGCACUUUGAAAAGAGAGUGAAACAGCACGUGAAAUUGUUGAAAGGGAAGGGUAUUGCGCCCGACAUGGGGAUUGCGCACCGCUGCCUCUCGUGGGCGGCGCUCUGGGCUUUCCCUGGGCCAGCAUCGGUUCUUGCUGCAGGAGAAGGGGUUCUGGAACGUGGCUCUUCGGAGUGUUAUAGCCAGGGCCAGAUGCUGCGUGCGGGGACCGAGGACUGCGGCCGUGU